UAGGGAAUCUUCCACAAUGGACGCAAGUCUGAUGGAGCAACGCUGCGUGAGUGAAGAAGGUCUUCGGAUCGUAAAACUCUGUUGUUAGAGAAGAACACGAGUGAGAGUAACUGUUCAUUCGAUGACGGUAUCUAACCAGCAAGUCACGGCUAACUACUUACCAG
RNAcentral lists this ribosomal RNA (164 nucleotides) under uncultured bacterium. RNAcentral describes it as "partial 16S rRNA". It matches the Rfam family "Bacterial small subunit ribosomal RNA", at positions 355 to 511 of the family's 1533-position model. The record is from RNAcentral.